GCAGAGCAAAUUAGAGAUUCUUGGAACUUGGAUUUAUCUGGCAACGAGGGUACAGGGAUGUACCCGAGAGGCAUAACCGCACCAGGACGGUGCGUUUAUGCCGGUACCGGGAAGUGGUUUUAUCUAUAACUCCAAGUUCCUAGAAUCUCUUAU
Molecule: non-coding RNA, 153 nt
Filed under: pig gut metagenome
Source: RNAcentral